UACCACUUAAAUUAGAAGUUGGUUUAGAUUUAAUGCUAUGUAGAGACAUAACACAUGCAAGUUAAUCAUAUAUCCUCCUUAUUGUAAGGAAGAAAUAGGAUAGCAAUUCGGUGAGUUAAUAUAUAAAUAUAUAUUAUAUUAUUAUAUUUAUAUAUAGGUAUAGAUAUUAGUUAAAAACUAGUCAUAGAAACCAAAUCGAUGAUAAAUAGUCAGAACGAUCACAUUGAUAUAUAUCAAUUAUUAUAAAUAACAGCAGUGAGGAAUAUUUGACAAUGAUCUAACGAUUGAUCAAGUUAUCUACAAGAUAUAAAUACUAUUAAUAAAUAAUUAAAUUAUUUAAUAUAAAAAAUAAUAGUAAUAAAUAAAUAUCAAAUUAUAUUUAAUAAUGAUAAAUAUAAUAAUAAUCUAGACAAAAUUAUGUGCCAGCAGUCGCGGUUAUACAUAAUAGGUUAGCAUUAAUCAGUAAAGGUUUAAAGGAUCCGUAGAAUGGUUAAAUAAUACCUCCCCCCUCCAUCUUUGAUGGAGGGGGGAUGGAAAUAAACUAGAUUAUUAAAUAAUAUAUAAUGAAAUAGUACUAAAGAGAUGAAAUACUAUAACAGUACUAGUACAGUAAAGAAUAUAUAUAAUAAUAAUGACAUUGAGGGAUGUAGAUUAUAGUAGCGACAUGGAUUAGAUACCCAUUUAGUUAUAAUUGUAAACUAUGUACAUAAUAAUAUAAGAUAAUUAAAAAAAUAUAAUGUACCACCUGAUUAGUAAGUUCGCAAGAAUGAAAAUCAAUACUUUAGCCGGUUAUAUUUCUAACAGUGAAACAUGUUGUUUAAUUGGAUAAUCCUCCUAAAAUCUUACCUCUCCUUGAAUUAAUAAUAUUUUAUUUAUUAUUAACAGGUAUUACAUUGUUGUUGUCAGUUCAUGUUGUAAAAUUUAAUAUUAAGUUAUUUAAUGAACGUAAUCCACAUAUAUAUAUAUAAUAAUAUAAAUGAAUUAGAUAGAUCUAAUUGGAAGCAGUGGUUAAAAACUAAUCAUCAUGAUCCUUAUGGAGAAGGGCUACAAACGUGUUAUAAUAAUAUUAACAAUUAUAUAAAUAUAUUUAAGCUAUUAAUCUUAAUUAGUUAAUAGACUUAUUAUUAUAAUAUUUAUUAUAAUUAAAUAAUAUUAAUAAAAUAUUAAAUUAUUAAAAUGGAUUGAUUAUUGAAAUUUAUAAUCAUGAAAAAGGAAUUGUUAGUAAUCAUAAACUAGAGAGUUAUGGUGAAUCUUUAAUUUAUUUCGGACUAAUUACUCAUCAAGAGCAAAGAUAUUAAUUUUAUAAUAUACCCCCUUAUUAAGGUUUAAAUAUUAUAAUCAUAUUAAUUAAUUUGUUUUAAGUUGAAAUACAGUUCGGUUAGAUGAAUUUGAUCGGGAAUUAUUAAACGA
Molecule: ribosomal RNA, 1410 nt
Filed under: Intestinozyma alai
Lineage: Eukaryota; Fungi; Ascomycota; Pichiomycetes; Serinales; Debaryomycetaceae
Description: Candida alai small subunit ribosomal RNA
Rfam family: Bacterial small subunit ribosomal RNA
Source: RNAcentral